Molecule: RNA transcript, 1358 nt
Organism: Triticum aestivum (bread wheat)
Lineage: Eukaryota; Viridiplantae; Streptophyta; Magnoliopsida; Poales; Poaceae
Gene name: probable aldo-keto reductase 2
Exons: 4
Source: RefSeq, a predicted model, not a curated record
UCACUCGUGAGCAGCUAGCUAGUUCAUCAUGGCCAAGCCGACGGUGCCUCGGAUGAAGCUGGGCUCGCAGGGGCUGGAGGUCUCCGCGCAGGGCCUCGGCUGCAUGGGCAUGUCCGCCAACUACGGCCCGGCGAAGCCGGACGAUGACAUGCUCGCGCUCCUCCGCCACGCCUUCGCCGCCGGCGUCACUCUCCUUGACACCUCCGACGCCUACGGCCCCUUCACCAACGAGCUCCUUCUCGGAAAGGCGCUCCAGGGAGGGUUGUUGGCGACCGGUGGGGCGGGAGUGCAGGUGGCCACCAAGUUCGGGGUCAAGUUCACCGAGGCGCCGCCGGGGUGGGAGUUCUGCGGCUCGCCGGCGUACGUCCGGCAGGCGUGCGAGGCCAGCCUGCGGCGCCUUGGAGUCGACUGCAUCGAUCUCUACUACCAGCACCGCAUCGACACCCGUCUGCCCAUCGAGAUCACGAUCAGCCUUGUUCCUGAGUCCAGUUCAGAUGUCCUCGCGGCUUUGUUGUGCCAUUAGAUGGGCGAGCUGAAGAAGCUGGUGGGGGAGGGCAAGAUAAAGUACGUCGGCUUGUCGGAGGCCUCCGCUUCCACCAUAAGAAGAGCCCACGCCGUCCAUCCCAUCACCGCCGUGCAGCUCGAGUGGUCUCUCUGGACCAGAGACUCUGAAGAGGAGAUCAUCCCUACCUGCAGGGAGCUUGGCAUCGGCAUAGUGGCAUACAGUCCCCUUGGCAGGGGAUUCUUCGGUUCAGGAGCAAAGUCCGCAGAUAAUUUCUCAGAACGCGAUAUCCGCAAGAAUCUGCCUCGUUUCCAGGCCGAGAACCUGGAGCACAACCAGCGGAUCUUCGAGAGGGUGAACGAGAUGGCGACGAGGAAAGGAUGCACGCCGUCGCAGCUCGCUCUGGCCUGGGUUCACCACCAGGGACCAGACGUGUGCCCGAUCCCGGGGACUACCAAGAUGGACAACUUCGACAGCAACCUCGCGGCGCUCGCACUCAGGCUUACGCCGGAGGAGAUGGCUGAGCUAGAAUCUUACGCUGCCGCAGACGCUGUCAAAGGGUUCAGGACCUACAAUGCAGCUAACACGUGGAUGAGCUCGGAUACUCCUCCGCUCGAGUCGUUCAAGGGAGAGUGACCGACUAAUUGUGUCACCUCACUUGUAUGGUUGGAUUCCCCUUUAACAUUUGUGUACGAGUAGUUCAGUGUGGGGAGUAGUAGCCCUGCUUCUGUUCUUGUGUGCGCCACCGUCUACACUUUUCUUGGAGUCUUCUUUCCUUGUGAUGCUUUUAUACCUUUCUCCACCGUAUGUUGAAAUUUAAUAAAGCUCCAAAAUCGUACCAUAUGCGUUUAUAAAA